CCCACUUCCUUGGUCUUCAUCCCAACAUAACCGGCCAUGUCCUGCAUGCGCUUCUUCGCCUGGUCCAGUGAUUCUGGCAUGGCAGUACCUUCCCUGAAAUACUUCAACGCCCACGACUGCGACGUCAGCCCGCUCAGCCCGAGAGCUCCAGCAACCAUAAAUGCCAUCAUAGCAAGGCCAAUAACAACGGCAGCAGGAAGAAUUAUAGGGCCGAAGAGAAUAAAAAGUGGGGUGGCAAUGGCCAUCCCGAUGAGCGUAUUCGUUAAGGUUAUGCCAGAGAGAGAUAGAAGACCACCACCAACCGGCAGAAAGGUUAACACAGCUAACACUUUGGAGGCUGAUGGACCCUUCUGUUGGCCCUUGUAGCCAGUAGUUGGAUCAUAGCGGUGCACUUGCACCUGGUGCGGCUGCGGACGAUCAGCCAUUGUCAGUAGCUUCCAAGUUCAAAGAAGUCGCCAAAAAAGAGUACAAAGAAAGAGAUUAUCAGUCGAACGAAGAGGA
RNAcentral lists this long non-coding RNA (501 nucleotides) under Ricinus communis (castor bean). RNAcentral's name for it is "long non-coding RNA (RCOM_LNC001399)". The record is from RNAcentral. Lineage: Eukaryota; Viridiplantae; Streptophyta; Magnoliopsida; Malpighiales; Euphorbiaceae.